GGAGUCAGUGUAAAGAGAAGGCUAAGGAUAACUCGGCUCUGGAGAGUAGAGAAUAUGCCUUCUCUUCUGCCCCUCCAGGAACCUUACUUUUUUUUUUUUAAACAAAAAACAAAAACAAAAAACAAAAACCAAAAACCAAAAACCAACCACCACCUUUUAUUUAAAAGUCUAACCUUGGGAAUUUGCUGGGGAGAAGGAACUCAGUGAAUAUUGCCCUGGGUCCUGGUAAUUCCACCUACUGAAGACAACUGCCCCUUCUGCUCAUAUUUCCUGAGUCAACAUGGCCGUUCCUAACUUUGAAGAGACUUUAGACAUUCUUUGUUACAAUGAACCUAGAAGAAAGAAGAGAAAUGAAACCUGAAAGAACAGAGGUCCACUGUCAGCAUUUGCACAGGAGGAAGUAUUUCGAAGCCCCCAUCACCUCGUCUGGCCUUAUAGACCUGCUGAUGAGGAAGGCCUUCUGCUCCCCUCCCCCAACCCUCUCCUCUUUCCAUCUCUUGCCUAAAGGCUGCUCCGUUUGGGGGACUGUGCCCAAGGUGCUGCAUGGUCGACCGACCGACCCCAGAGAAAGGCAGGCAUCAUCAUCUCAGCUGCUCCCUCUGCUCUAAGGACCGGGGACUAGGAACAUUCUGGCAAGAGAAGGGAGGGGGGGCCAAGCUUGGAGUCACACAUGGCUGCAUUUCGUAUGGCAAGGCUUUCUUGUUUGUGCUUUCUUCCUAUGGAAAAAAAAAAGGCUCUGGAAGGGGCCUGGGGAGCCAGAUCAAAUGUUCAAAUGUACUGGCAGGGAGCCAAGGCUCAACUUCUCUGCCAGGAACUCCACGUUCUCAAGUCUUCACUGCUGUUGAAACUGAUCGGGAAGGUUAAUGAGAUUAAUAUGGCCAAACACUGUGGGCUUCUGGGAAGCAAACAGCCAGGUAGGGAGGCCCAGUGUUGGACCAAGGUGGCUGGAAAUAAGGUAUACAACCCACUCCUAGAAAAGCUUGAGUGUUUUUACCGGACAAUCCCUGUGCCGGGGCUGGCGAGGGAAGCGCACAGAACUCUACGUCAUUGCUGAGGGGAAAUUUGACCAACAUCUAGGAUGGUCUGUAGGAAUGGGAUAGUGUGACAAUUCUACAUAUCUUACAAAGAUCAAAUCAACACAAUUCAUAUUUCUGUCGGCUUGAGCAAUGACUAUUCUAUGUUUUGGAGACUCUGAUCCUUUCUCUUCUAGCUCCUGGUACAGCCUAUAAUAAGCUGUAGUGAACUUCAGUCACCCUUCUGUGCUGAAGGGCAUGGGCACCCAGUCUUCCCAGCUAGCCGAGUUUCAAGACUUGGGAAAGGAGUUGCUUGCUCCAAGUGCUAAGUGCCUGUGAACAUUGACUAACUUCCCAUGCCCAAGAACUUCUCAUCCGUUUGGCCCCAACUAAAGACACAACGUAUGUAGCUACCAAAUGACAACUUUCCAGGUCAUCUGCCACCAGAGCCUGCCUCCCUCAGACCCAUACAUGGCACUCACACCUGGUGCAAGUGAGCUUGCUUGUCCUCUCAUCAUCUUGGCACCAUGUCUUCCCCUCUGGUCAUCUUAGUAAAGCCCCAAAGAACGGGCAAUAAUGUGAGAGCUGAAGGCUCGUCAGUGCCACUAUCUGUCUUAUUAUGAAUAAAAAAAUUUAAACCCAA
Molecule: long non-coding RNA, 1656 nt
Filed under: Mus musculus (house mouse)
Lineage: Eukaryota; Metazoa; Chordata; Mammalia; Rodentia; Muridae
Description: POU domain, class 3, transcription factor 3 adjacent noncoding transcript 1
Source: RNAcentral